ACCUUCAUCAAAGCUGCUGCAGGUCCAUCAGCUUCGUUCCCCUGGAACUAAAGAGCCUUGUAAGAACUUCAUGAGGACCAUUCAUCCAGGGAGUCCUCAACCUCAGUUCUCACAGUCAGUUGUACCCACACCACCAGGUUGACUGCCAGAAAAUGCAGCUCUAGCCAUGUGAGUCCCUUGCUCUUCGCGGGCUCCCUGCAGCCUUCUGAUACAGGUACAAACUCCACAGUUUGGAAUUCGCAGAAUUACUUCAGUCCAGCUCUCUCUGCUUCGCUCCCUGCCGUUAGCCUUGCCCUGCCAAGCCCUGUUCCCUCUGGAGGGAGGACCUUUCCAGGACCGCCUCCGCAGCUGUGUGCUUCUUCUCGAGGGGCCUUCAGCGGGCUGUGCUCCUGGGACACUGGCCGCUGGCCUCCUCCUUCAAAGCCAGCAGAGGCCCCCCUCCCCCAGGAAGUUUUUUUUUUCCUCAUAUUUCUCCAAACUGACCAGCGCCUUGAACAUCAUCUUGAUAAUCAAGUCCACACAGCAGCCCGCAGUGUAUAAACCUUUCUCUUGGUAUUCUUGCCCGGCUAUCCGUGGCGUACCUCCUGCUGAAACAAGAAAGUGAGGGGAGUUCCCACGGUGAGAAUGUGGCUUGGUAUUUUCAUGUAUGUUAAUGAAAAGAUGAAGGUGAAGGAUGUUUGCUAGAAGUUUACUGAUUCUUUAAUGAUACGUGUGACUAUCUUGCUGACUCAAAUAGUAGCUUUCGAAUAUG
This 751-nucleotide long non-coding RNA is filed under the name Bos indicus x Bos taurus (hybrid cattle). RNAcentral describes it as "lncRNA (ENSBIXG00005029081.1)". The record is from RNAcentral. Lineage: Eukaryota; Metazoa; Chordata; Mammalia; Artiodactyla; Bovidae.